AUGGAUCCGGAGGUGUGGACGCCGCGUUCGGGAGGGCGGUCGAAGCCAACAAGCCGGAGCAGUAGCACCGGGAGCGGUGGGAGCCCAGGGUGUGGGAGCAACAUCGAGUACACGAGCCUACGCGACAUGAUGUUGGAAGGAGGCGGUGGCGGUGGCGGCGGCGGGGAGAACCAUGGCAGUGGCGGCUGUGCGUUCCGUGCGGGGAGCUGGAGGGACUGCAACAAUGACAACAUCCAUGAGUUCGACGCAUCCAACAUCGGUAUCCGGAACCAGCUGCUGAAGCACGCGGCCUCGGCGUACCUACAGUCGGCGGUGGUGGUGGGUGGCAGCGGCGGCGGGGCGCGCGAGGGCCAGGGGUGCUGCCUGGUACGCCUUUGGCAUCACAUUAGCGGCGGGCGUGGGCGCGGGCAUGUGCUAGAGGAGGCGUGCUCGUGGCAGGGGUGCGUCGACGAUCCCGCCGAAAUCUGCGCCGCUUUCGUCACCCAGUCUGCCCGCCGUGUCGCCGCCUUCUUCGCGGGCAUAUGGACCUAG
RNAcentral lists this ribosomal RNA (531 nucleotides) under Triticum aestivum (bread wheat). RNAcentral describes it as "partial small subunit ribosomal RNA". The record is from RNAcentral. Lineage: Eukaryota; Viridiplantae; Streptophyta; Magnoliopsida; Poales; Poaceae.